ACGAACGCUGGCGGCGUGCUUAACACAUGCAAGUCAAGGGGGCCCGCAAGGGCAACCGGCGAACGGGUGCGUAACACGUGAGCAAGUUUCCUAUUAGUGGGGGAUAGCCGGCCCAACGGCCGGGUAAUACCGCAUAUCUUGAUCGGGUGGCAUCGUCUGAUCAGGAAACCUCCGGGGCUAAUAGAGGCGCUCGCGGCCUAUCAGCUAGUUGGUGAGGUAAUGGCUCACCAAGGCUAUGACGGGUAGCUGGUCUGAGAGGAUGGCCAGCCACAUUGGGACUGCGACACGGCCCAGACUCCUACGGGAGGCAGCAGUGGGGAAUAUUGCGCAAUGGACGAAAGUCUGACGCAGCGACGCCGCGUGUGGGAUGAAGCCUUUCGGGGCGUAAACCACUGUUGCCCGGGACGAACAUCCUCUUUCGAGAGGACUGACGGUACCGGGUGAGGAAGCACCGGCUAACUCUGU
RNAcentral lists this ribosomal RNA (465 nucleotides) under uncultured bacterium. RNAcentral's name for it is "bacterial SSU rRNA". It matches the Rfam family "Bacterial small subunit ribosomal RNA", at positions 29 to 506 of the family's 1533-position model. The record is from RNAcentral.